This 423-nucleotide ribosomal RNA is filed under the name uncultured bacterium. RNAcentral describes it as "partial 16S ribosomal RNA". It matches the Rfam family "Bacterial small subunit ribosomal RNA", at positions 359 to 774 of the family's 1533-position model. The record is from RNAcentral.
GAAUUUUGGACAAUGGGCGAAAGCCUGAUCCAGCAAUGCCGCGUGCAGGAUGAAGGCCUUCGGGUUGUAAACUGUUUUUGUACGGAACGAAAAGCUUUGGGUUAAUACCCUGGAGUCAUGACGGUACCGUAAGAAUAAGCACUGGCGAACUACGGGCUAGCAGCCGCGGUAAUAAGUAGGGUGCAAACGUUAAACGGAAUUACUGGGCGUAAAGCUUGCCCAUGCGGUUUUGUAAGACGAAGGGAAAAUCCCCGGGCCAAACCUGGGAACUGCCUUUGUGACUGCAAGGCUAGAGUACGGCAGAGGGGGGUGGAAGUCCGCGUGUAGCAGUGAAAUGCGUAGAUAUGCGGAGGAACACCGAUGGCGAAGGCAACCCCCUGGGCCUGUACUGACGCUCAUGCACGAAAGCGUGGGGAGCAAACA